ACAGCCUUUGCCACUUCCCUCUGGAGGCUGCAGCUCACCCGGAAAAAGGCUAGGGACACAGGAGACCCCCACUUCAGACUCCUCUCCUGCAGCUGCUGCCCCUCAGGCCAAGGAACAGCCCUCUCUGUUGGAAGGGAGCACCCAGAACAGAGGCCAUCCAAACCUGAGGCAGAGGGGGACCAUAUCCUCCUCACCAAUCUAAGAGGCUUCCCCAAAGACCUCACCCCCAGCUUUUGCAGACCCAGCCUAGUGCCUGGGCUUCAGCUGAGAGGCUGGGGGGAUGUUUUCCUUCCUGCCCCAGAGACUGUCAACUGAAUCCUCAAAAUGUAUCUGAAGGAAUGGGAGACAUUCUAAAUACACUGUUUGACUCUGAACAAAAAGAUCAAAAGUUCAGGGACAUUCUUUGAGGUCAUCAGAGUACAAAACAGAAAUCAGUCAAAGGAAGAGUCUGGGCUUCAACAGAUCAAAUUAAAUUCUAGUGAGGAAACUGCUUGUUAAUUUGGAGCCAGUUAACAAGAGAAAACAGAGACAAUGUGAAAUAUUACAAAACCAUAUGUGAGAUUUAAUAACACUUUCUAAGGUAAGAAGAGCUUUAAAGAACUUAAAUGCAAAGGAGACACGUGGAUCUAACUUCUGUCUGGCUCGGGAAGAACAUAUGAGGCUUCAGAAUUCCUACAGGAAAAAGAGAAACAGAGAAACCAACAUGCUGCCUUUAAUGACUUGAUCAAAUGCCGUGAGCAAUCUCAGAGAGUCCUCCAUGUCCUUUUUUGCAAGACACAAGAAAACGCCCAUCUAAAAGAUCACAUUACACCAUGAGAAGCGCCGGCAGGCCAGCAGAGCGAUGAGACACAGUUUCGGACAAGUCAGACGGCAGAUGACUUCGACAGAGUCUUCGUUAACCAUGAUGGGGAAAAGCACAGACUACUUCCAGGCAACACAGAGGGAGGUUGUAUCAGACAAGCAACAUCUGGAAGAACAGUAAAUCCGCUGAAAGAAGGUGACUAUCCACUGCAUAAGGCCAACACUCUCCUGAAAAGAUCAACGUGCAUCUGCACAGCCCACUCAUGCAGAGCAUUAGCAGAAAAUCACAGCCCUUAAGCAAGGUGACUCUGGAAGAGAAAGAAAUGGAAGCGAGACGCAGCCUUCCAAACGCACUUCAGAAGAGCAUCCGCAAGACAGGGGCUGGGAGAGCAACUGCCGUAGUGAAAAGUAACAUUGACUUACUUCAUGGGACCAAGCCUCUUCUGGAACAUCAAUCUAAAAACCACAGAGCCUUAAUGAAAGCUGUUAGCAAACGGAAUCUCAAAAACCAGUUUGCUUAGCAAGGAAAAGAACAGGAAGGGAAGUGGCAAAAUCUUUCCCCCAGAAGAAAAUAACCAAAACUCCAAGACCUGGAUUAAAAAUGAGAAAAACAAGAAAGGCCUUAUACGAUCCAGAGUUGCAUUCUGAACAAGAACACCCAUGAACUCUCCUUCAUGACAUAGUAUGUUAAAAGAGCUCUUGCCAGCCGGGUGCGGUGGCUCACGCUUGUAAUUCCAGCACUUUGGGAGGCCAAGGCAGGCAGAUCACCUGAGGUCAGGAGUUCAAGACCAGCCUGACCAACAUGGAGAAACCCUGUCUCUACUAAAAACAUAAAAUUAGCCAGGUGUGGUGGCACAUGCCUGUAAUCCCAGCUACUUGGGAGGCUGAGGCAGGAGAAUCACUUGAACUCAGGAGGCGGAGGUUGCAGUGAGCCGAGAUCACGCCAUUGCACUCCAGCCUGGGGCAUAAGAGCAAAACUCCAUCUCGAAAAAAAAAAAAAAAAAAAAAAAAGGAGCUCUUGCCACAGAGAAAGUAGGUGCUACCAACUUGAGACACAUUUCAGGAUAAACAUACCGAGGAAGGGAGAGUCUUCAAUCAACUGUGUUCCUCAAAACAGCCCUGAGAAGCAACAGUCAUCAGAGACUUCCUGCAAGACACCCUCAACCACCAGAGUUUUGGCCCCACCCCCAUUCCCACACCAGGAAUGGCAUUCAAUUUAUAAAUCAACUUGGAAGGAAUGGGCAUCUUGAUGAUGAGUUGUGACAGCCAAAAACAAGGCCAUUGAUUUCUGUAAGCUGAUUUUCCAGAAAAAGGCUAAAACUACAAAGGAGAUGGUGCUGAGGCUUGAGCGCUGAGCCCAGCUACAGAUCUAAGACGAUGCGGGCUAUGAGGACAUGCAAGCAUUUUGAACUGGGAGGAGAUAAGAAGAGAAAGGGCCAAGUGAUUCAGUUCUAAAUUUCAUCUUUUGUUUUAUU
Gorilla gorilla gorilla (western lowland gorilla) is the source of this 2276-nucleotide long non-coding RNA. RefSeq lists it as uncharacterized. The record is from RefSeq and is a predicted model, not a curated record. The transcript has 3 exons. NCBI's taxonomy places the organism in Eukaryota, Metazoa, Chordata, Mammalia, Primates, Hominidae.